UCACUAAAAAACUCCAGCCGCACACAGCCG
Molecule: small RNA, 30 nt
Filed under: Bombyx mori (domestic silkworm)
Lineage: Eukaryota; Metazoa; Arthropoda; Insecta; Lepidoptera; Bombycidae
Description: ovarian small RNA-25340
Source: RNAcentral